RNAcentral lists this long non-coding RNA (1236 nucleotides) under Phoenix dactylifera (date palm). Its description in RNAcentral is "long non-coding RNA (PDAC_LNC015347)". Lineage: Eukaryota; Viridiplantae; Streptophyta; Magnoliopsida; Arecales; Arecaceae. The record is from RNAcentral.
AACUAGUUUUUGCUUCUCCCUCGGCGUGUGUACUUAGGGCUCGUUUGGUUCGCGGAAAGCAUUUUUCCUUCUAAAAAUAUGAUUUCUAGAAAACAAAUUUCUAAAAAAUGGAUGCCUAGAAAAAUACUUUUGGCAUGUUUGGUUGACCAUUGGAAAGUGACCAAUUUACAAAAUAUUUAUGUUUGAUUGGCCAUCCACUUUUUUUAGAAAAGUUAUGUAUAAUUCCUAUUAUAUCCUUAAUAAAAAUUAGGUUUUUAAUGCCUAUUUAAUGCUUCUUUAAUACUGAAGGGACUUUUUAGAAAAAAGUAAAAAUGGAGUGAUUCCCGCCUCAUGGAAAAGUAACUUUCCCAUGUUUCUCAUGGGAAAGACUUUUCCAUGAAAUGUGGAAAUCAUAUUCCAAUCAGAAUACAACUUUUCCUUCUCUCUCCUUUGAAAACUCCAACCAAACAUGAGGCAUCUCAUUACUUUUCCGUUGACCACAUUUUUUCCCCUUCUUUUCCCGCGAACCAAACGAGCCCUUAGAGUUUGUUUCGUUGAAAUAUAUAAGAUUAUUCUGAUAAUUUUAAAAAAUAUUUAUUUGAAGAAAUAAUUAGAGAGGAAGAUAAACUUUGUCAUAUUUGAUCGGUAGAAAAGUUACUGUUCCAAAUUUUAAAUAAUAUUUUGAAUAAAUAAUAGUAUUUUUUUCUUAGUUUAUCCCUUACAUGAACGCUAAGAAUAUUUGCCCAUAUUGAGUAUUAAAAUAAAUUUAUAUUAGAAAAUAUAUUUUUAUUAUAAAUAAAUUUUAGUAUGUUUCAUAUAUAAAUAAAUAUAUUAAUUAUUAAUAAAUCCCUAUAUUAUAUUUAUUAAUAUUUAAUACAUUUUUGUUAAUAUAUUAGUAUAUUAAAUAUAUUAUUAAUUAAUAUAUUAAUAUAUUUAUGAUAUAUUAAUAUAAUUAAUAUUAAUUAUAUAAUAUAGUUAAUAUACUAUUGAUAUAAUAUAAGUAAGGAUUUUUUUGUCUAGAAAUAGGAUUUUUAGAUACAUCCACUCAGUAAUCUAGUAUGGAAAAAUAUAUCAUCCUUUUAAUGGUAUUUAUUUUAUUUUCUCUCUAAAAAAAUAAAUAUCAAACUAAUCAAAUAUUUUACUAUCUUUUUUUAUUUUUUUAACCAAUUAUAAUAAUCUGACAUAUAAUUUAUUAUUUUCGUACUAGAAUACUCUCAACCAAAUGGAUUCUUAAAUUAUUAGAUGUGACAUAGAAUU